RNAcentral lists this signal recognition particle RNA (298 nucleotides) under Aotus nancymaae (Ma's night monkey). RNAcentral's name for it is "Metazoan signal recognition particle RNA (ENSANAG00000000376.1)". It matches the Rfam family "Metazoan signal recognition particle RNA". Rfam says of the family: The signal recognition particle (SRP) is a universally conserved ribonucleoprotein. It is involved in the co-translational targeting of proteins to membranes. The eukaryotic SRP consists of a 300-nucleotide 7S RNA and six proteins: SRPs 72, 68, 54, 19, 14, and 9. The record is from RNAcentral. Lineage: Eukaryota; Metazoa; Chordata; Mammalia; Primates; Aotidae.
GCCAGGGGUGGUGGCGGGUGCCUGUAGUCCCAGCUACUCAGGAGGUUGAGGUGGGAGGAUUGCUUGAGCCCAGGAGUUCUGGGCUGUAGUACGCUAUGCCGAUCAAGUGUCCGCACUAAGUUCGGCAUCAAUAUGGUGACCUCCUGGGAGCAGGGGACCACCAGAUUGCCUAAGGAGGGGUUAACCAGCCCAGGUUGGAAACGGAGCAGGCAAAACUGCCGCGCUGAGCAGUAGUGGGAUUGUGCCUGUGAAUAGCCACUGCACUCCAGCCUGGGCAACAUAGCAAGACCCCAUCUCU